RNAcentral lists this ribosomal RNA (300 nucleotides) under uncultured bacterium. RNAcentral's name for it is "bacterial SSU rRNA". It matches the Rfam family "Bacterial small subunit ribosomal RNA", at positions 28 to 321 of the family's 1533-position model. The record is from RNAcentral.
GAUGAACGCUAGCGGCAGGCUUAAUACAUGCAAGUCGAGGGGCAGCAGGUCUGUAGCAAUACAGAUGUUGGCGACCGGCAAACGGGUGCGGAACACGUACAGAACCUUCCUUCGAGCGGGGAAUAGCCCAGAGAAAUUUGGAUUAAUACCCCAUAGUAUAUUAGAGUGGCAUCACUUUAAUAUUAAAGAUUUAUCACUUGAAGAUGGCUGUGCGGCUGAUAGGUAGUUGGCGGGGUAACGGCCCACCAAGCCAGCGAUCAGUAACUGGUGUGAGAGGCACGACCAGUCACACGGGCACUG